UGUUGCUCAUCUUAAACUAUUAAGAUUGAAAAUACAUAUUUCAAAAACAUUAGAGCACAUCCAGAAUCUUUGUAAUUCAUAUUGAAUUUUGGUACAAAUUGGAGGACAUUAUGUACUAAUGUUAGGCAAGUUGAAAGAUAAAUUAUAAUCAAUUCAUUCUGCCUAAUUUGCAAAUUCAGAUUAUCCUUUUCUUUUAUUUUUCAGAAGAUGUUCAUUAAAAUAGAAGUAUCCUUUUCUUCUUCUUUUUAUAAAUAUAUUCAACUUUCAGAUUUCAAAGGUGAUCAUGAACGACAAAUCUAAAAUUUCUUUCAAAAAUAUUUUUAGAAAAAUUCUUAUGUAAUUUUUCAAACAUUCAAGCAUUGGAACCGAUUUAAUAAGAAAUUUUGUUUUUGAUCAAGAGAGUACAAGAGAAAUCCAAAAUAUCAUUGAUGAGUAUAGAAUACAAGUAAAAACAAUUUUCAUUAGGCUUUG
This 471-nucleotide long non-coding RNA is filed under the name Phoenix dactylifera (date palm). RNAcentral's name for it is "long non-coding RNA (PDAC_LNC009099)". Lineage: Eukaryota; Viridiplantae; Streptophyta; Magnoliopsida; Arecales; Arecaceae. The record is from RNAcentral.